Vespa mandarinia (Asian giant hornet) is the source of this 804-nucleotide long non-coding RNA. Lineage: Eukaryota; Metazoa; Arthropoda; Insecta; Hymenoptera; Vespidae. The record is from RefSeq and is a predicted model, not a curated record.
ACAAAAAUCACUUGGCUGACCGAGUGGAAGGGAGAAUUACAGAUUAAUACGAUACUACAUUCGAAACAAGUCACGAUCUGUUUGCGUAACAGGCAAGACGAAAUUAUCGCUUUUAUUACGCAUUUUAAAAUACUUAACGAAAUUUAAUUUGCUUUUUAGUUUACCCCUUCUAUCAAAUUGACAGCUUGGAAUAAAAAAGAUGUUUAAGCGGGACAAGACGUUCUCAUGUUUUUUUUUUUUUUUUUUUUGAAGUUAAAGACAAAUAUCUUUUUUUUUCUUUUUUUCUUUUUUUUUUUCCUUUUUUUUUUUCUUUUUUUAUUAAAUAAAAAUUUAAUUGUUCAUCGUGCGCCAUGCGAUCUUAGAGUCAGUGUUUAUGCGAAAAAAUUUCGAGUUUCUCUAACCAAAUAGGUUGUCUUAAAAAUGAAAUAAAUUCGCAAAUUAAAUUCAGUGUUGUUCAACGAAGAAAAUUCUUCGGUCGUGUUAAUAAAUCAACGCAAGAAUUUCAUGUAAUAUUCUUGUUAAAACAAUUCGUUCGUCGCGUUAUGUGAAUUAAAAAAUUUUUCAUCUACAUCUUUAUCAACGAAUAUAAAGCUUCGUUUGGAUAAAAUUAUAUAUCAACCAACUCCAUGACAUCAUUCAAUCUACAUUGAGAGAGACAAGUUUUUUGGAGACAUCGCAGAAAUUCUUAAUUAAUUCAAAUUUGAAACUCCGAGUCGAUGAUAAUUAAUACUGUAGACAAAAACGUGCGUAUGAAUGAUUUGGACAGUUCUCGAGUCAGUUUGCUGUUGGAUUUCAAUGAAUAAG